Molecule: non-coding RNA, 207 nt
Organism: Vicia faba (fava bean)
Lineage: Eukaryota; Viridiplantae; Streptophyta; Magnoliopsida; Fabales; Fabaceae
Source: the annotation of a GenBank genome assembly
AUGGAAAAGUAUAAUUUCAGUGAACAAGAUGCAACAACUGCUCAGUGCCUUAGUCAACCAUGGCUCAGUGCAGUUCCCCGCACCAUUCAGCCUUUUAUUUUUUGUUUACUGAACAGGGAUGGGAGGAUAUUACAGUCAAGCAAGAUCAGUCUGAUGAGAACCAAUCGGGGGAUUUACAGUCAUGUUUGUCCCAUUAAAUUGAUAUGA